RNAcentral lists this transfer RNA (72 nucleotides) under Bos taurus (domestic cattle). It matches the Rfam family "tRNA". From Rfam's summary of the family: Transfer RNA (tRNA) molecules are approximately 80 nucleotides in length. Their secondary structure includes four short double-helical elements and three loops (D, anti-codon, and T loops). The record is from Rfam by way of RNAcentral. RNAcentral also lists the same sequence under 5 other names. Lineage: Eukaryota; Metazoa; Chordata; Mammalia; Artiodactyla; Bovidae.
UCCCUGGUGUCUCAGAUGGUAAAGAAUCUGCCUGCAAUGUGGGAGACCCAGGUUCAAUCCCUGGUUUGGGAA